CUUCUUGCAGUGGUCACACCACUCGACGCUGACAGGCGUCCCCCUUCCUCGGGAUGUCUCUCGCGAGUGCAAAGCGAAGGCUCUGCCUUCUGUUUCUUGAUUAUUUACUGUCCCCAUGGUGACGCUUCUGGUCUCCUUUUGUUGAAUGAAGGCUAUGACAGCGUCGAGCCGGUGUAAGUUGCUAGAUAGAAGGAUUUGAGACCGAAGUGCUU
This 212-nucleotide long non-coding RNA is filed under the name Ricinus communis (castor bean). RNAcentral describes it as "long non-coding RNA (RCOM_LNC002166)". Lineage: Eukaryota; Viridiplantae; Streptophyta; Magnoliopsida; Malpighiales; Euphorbiaceae. The record is from RNAcentral.